Molecule: ribosomal RNA, 449 nt
Filed under: uncultured bacterium
Lineage: Bacteria
Description: bacterial SSU rRNA
Rfam family: Bacterial small subunit ribosomal RNA
Source: RNAcentral
UGAGGAAUCUUGCACAAUGGGCGAAAGCCUGAUGCAGCGACGCCGCGUGGAGGAUGAAGGUCUUCGGAUUGUAAACUUCUGUUAAGUGGGAAGAAAGACGCAGUUCUAAUAAAAUUGCGGGAUGACGGUACCAUUAGAGAAAGCACCGGCUAACUUCGUGCCAGCAGCCGCGGUAAUACGAAGGGUGCAAGCGUUAUUCGGAAUGAUUGGGCGUAAAGGGUGCGCAGACGGUCAAUUAAGUCAACUGUUAAAUUUCUCAGCCUAACUGGGAGCUCGCAGUAGAAACUGGUCGACUAGAGGAUGGAAGAGAGAAGUGGAAUUCUCGGAGUAGCGGUAAAAUGCGUAGAUCUCGAGAGGAACACCGAUGGCGAAGGCAGCUUCUUGGUCCAUUCCUGACGUUCAGGCACGAAAGCGUGGGGAGCAAACAGGAUUAGAUACCCCCGUAGUCC